AGCAGCCGCGGUAAUUCCAGCUCCAAUAGCGUAUAUUAAAGUUGUUGCAGUUAAAAAGCUCGUAGUUGAAUUUCGGGAUUGGCGCAUCGGUCGUGCCUUACGGGGUAUGAACUGGUGCAGUCAAUUUCUCACCUUCUGGAGAACCGCGAUGUCCUUAAUUGGGUGCCGCGGGGAACCAGGACCUUUACCUUGAAAAAAUUGGGUGUUUAAAGCAGGCAUUUUUGCUUGAAUACAUUAGCAUGGAAUAAUAAAAUAGGACGGCAUGGUUCUAUUUUGUUGGUUUCUAGGACCACCGUAAUGAUUAAUAGGGAUAGUUGGGGGCAUUAGUAUUCAAUUGUCAGAGUGAAAUUCUUGGAUUUAUUGAAGACUUAACUACUGCGAAAAGCAUUUGCCAAGGNUGUUUUCAUUAAUCAAGAACGAAAGUUAGGGAUCGAAGACGAUCAGAUACCGUCGUAGUCUUAAACCGAUAAACUAUGACCGACUAGGAAUCAGACGAU
This 497-nucleotide ribosomal RNA is filed under the name uncultured Entrophospora. Its description in RNAcentral is "SSU rRNA". It matches the Rfam family "Eukaryotic small subunit ribosomal RNA", at positions 569 to 1061 of the family's 1831-position model. The record is from RNAcentral. Lineage: Eukaryota; Fungi; Glomeromycota; Glomeromycetes; Entrophosporales; Entrophosporaceae.